AAAGCUCUUUGCCAUCUGCCCGCAGAUGGCAAAGUGACUAUAUUGCCCCAUUUAAUUUUGAUUUUUCUUAUAUCAGUUCCUUUUCACAGAAAAUCAAACACAAAUAUAUUUAUAUGACCAAUAUAGCAUAUUCAACACAUAUUACCAAUAGUCAUGAACACAUAUAUAUCCAACACAUGUUACCAAUAGUAGCAAGUUUCAUCCGUACAUAUACAUAGUUUCAUCAAUAUUACACAGUUUCAUCCAUAGGUAGCAAGUUUCACAAGGUCAAAACAAAAACUAAAUACAAGCACUCCAUCAACCCAAGCUUCCGUGAUCUUAAGCAAAUCUGUAAAAUGGGAAAGAAGAAAGUUAGAAGAAGAAGACUAGAAGAAGAAGAUUAUUAUGAUGCGGAAAUAUGCAUGGAUUGUCAAAACUUGCAUUAUCCUACUAACACUAGUACAACAAAGCUGCAGGUUGGCAUAGUUCAUGAACCAUGUACAUCAUGACAAAUACAAUAUCAUCCAAUCCUCGACUAUGAACAAAAUUGAACAAUUACACCUCACAAAGGCAGAGCAUAGAACCAACAAGCAAAGGAGCUCACUCGAGGGGGUUCUAGCCUAGGACGAGCUUCAUCACCAUGGAUGCAGCUAGGGGAAUCAGACGAGUCUACCAUCAUAGGAGCAGCACCACCACCACCGCCAAAACUGGAAUGCCCGGAGCGAAUCACCAUCAUAUGUGUACAACUACCAGUGUUGUAGUACUUGAGGAAGAUGAAUAUAACACAGCUCACACACAUAGGUACAAAGUAAU
This 792-nucleotide long non-coding RNA is filed under the name Triticum aestivum (bread wheat). RNAcentral's name for it is "long non-coding RNA (TAES_LNC014687)". Lineage: Eukaryota; Viridiplantae; Streptophyta; Magnoliopsida; Poales; Poaceae. The record is from RNAcentral.